UACAGAGGUCCCCGAGCGUUGUUCGGAUUCAUUGGGCGUAAAGGGUGCGUAGGCGGCGGGGUAAGUCUGAUGUGAAAUCCUGGGGCUCAACCCUGGAACUGCAUUGGAUACUGCCUUGCUAGAGAACUGGAGAGGAGACUGGAAUUUACGGUGUAGCAGUGAAAUGCGUAGAGAUCGUAAGGAAGACCAGUGGCGAAGGCGAGUCUCUGGACAGUUACUGACGCUGAGGCACGAAGGCCAGGGGAGCAAACGGG
This 254-nucleotide ribosomal RNA is filed under the name uncultured bacterium. Its description in RNAcentral is "partial 16S ribosomal RNA". It matches the Rfam family "Bacterial small subunit ribosomal RNA", at positions 524 to 776 of the family's 1533-position model. The record is from RNAcentral.